UAGAGUUUGAUCAUGGCUCAGAAUCAACGCUGGCGGCGUGCCUCAGACAUGCAAGUCGAACGAUUAAAGCCCUCUUCGGAGGGUGUAUAAAGUGGCGCACGGGUGAGUAACACGUAAGUAAUCUACCCUCGGGUGGGGAAUAACAACCGGAAACGGUUGCUAAUACCGCAUAAUGCAGCGGCUCCUUAUGGAGACAGUUGUUAAAGGAUUUAUUCGCCUGAGGAGGAGCUUGCGGCAAAUUAGCUAGUUGGUAAGGUAAUGGCUUACCAAGGCUACGAUCUGUAGCCGGUCUAAGAGGACGGUCGGUCACACUGACACUGAAUAACGGGUCAGACUCCUACGGGAGGCAGCAGUCGGGAAUUUUGGGCAAUGGGCGAAAGCCUGACCCAGCAACGCCGCGUGAAGGAUGAAGUAUUUCGGUAUGUAAACUUCGAAAGAAUAGGAAGAAUUAAUGACGGUACUAUUUAUAAGGUCCGGCUAACUACGUGCCAGCAGCCGCGGUAAUACGUAGGGACCAAGCGUUGUUCGGAUUUACUGGGCGUAAAGGGCGCGUAGGCGGCAUGACAAGUCACUUGUGAAAUCUCUGGGCUUAACUCAGAACGGCCAAGUGAUACUGUCGCGCUAGAGUGCAGAAAGGGCAAUCGGAAUUCUUGGUGUAGCGGUGGAAUGCGUAGAUAUCAAGAGGAACACCUGAGGCGAAGGCGGGUUGCUAGGCUGACACUGAC
RNAcentral lists this ribosomal RNA (725 nucleotides) under uncultured Acidobacteriota bacterium. RNAcentral's name for it is "bacterial SSU rRNA". It matches the Rfam family "Bacterial small subunit ribosomal RNA", at positions 1 to 744 of the family's 1533-position model. Lineage: Bacteria; Pseudomonadati; Acidobacteriota. The record is from RNAcentral.